GACGAACCGUCCAAACGUUACUCGGAAUUACUGGGCUUAAAGGGUGCGUAGGCUGCGCGGAAAGUUGGGUGUGAAAUCCCUCAGCUCAACUGGGGAAUUGCAUUCAAAACUACCGUGCUCGAGGGAGACAGAGGUAAGCGGAACUCAAGGUGGAGCGGUGAAAUGCGUUGAUAUCUUGAGGAACACCGGUGGCGAAAGCGGCUUACUGGGUCUCUUCUGACGCUGAGGCACGAAAGCUAAGGUAGCAAACGGG
Molecule: ribosomal RNA, 253 nt
Filed under: uncultured bacterium
Lineage: Bacteria
Description: partial 16S ribosomal RNA
Rfam family: Bacterial small subunit ribosomal RNA
Source: RNAcentral